This 27-nucleotide non-coding RNA is filed under the name Bombyx mori (domestic silkworm). Lineage: Eukaryota; Metazoa; Arthropoda; Insecta; Lepidoptera; Bombycidae. The record is from RNAcentral.
UGACGAUGUACCAUCUGGAACCUUCGG